GUUGCGAUGGCCGAGUGGUCUAAGGCGCUGUGUUUAGGUGUAGCUGAUGACUAUCAGCUCGCAUUUCCCGCAGUCAGUAAUGGCGUGGGUUCAAAUCCCACUCGCAACA
Non-coding RNA from Plectosphaerella cucumerina, 109 nucleotides. Lineage: Eukaryota; Fungi; Ascomycota; Sordariomycetes; Glomerellales; Plectosphaerellaceae. The record is from the annotation of a GenBank genome assembly.